UAAAACAAACUGCCUAAUUCCUUGUACUGGAAACGGGGGAACCACCCCUGGGUGAAUUGACUUCGACGUCCGAAUGAUUGUAUCGGCGCCCGAGAAGUCAUAGGGAUCCUUCAACCGAACCCCACAGCUAACCUCGUCGGCAUUGGAAGGAGCUUUA
RNAcentral lists this small RNA (157 nucleotides) under Paenibacillus sp. Its description in RNAcentral is "c-di-AMP sequence". It matches the Rfam family "c-di-AMP riboswitch aptamer (ydaO/yuaA leader)". Rfam says of the family: This family represents a conserved RNA structure found upstream of the ydaO and yuaA genes in Bacillus subtilis and related genes in other bacteria. The ydaO/yuaA element is thought to act as a genetic "off" switch for the ydaO and yuaA genes in its native state. The record is from RNAcentral. Lineage: Bacteria; Bacillati; Bacillota; Bacilli; Caryophanales; Paenibacillaceae.